CUCCACCCGAGACUCAGUGAAAUUGAACUCGCUGUGAAGAUGCAGUGUACCCGCGGCAAGACGGAAAGACCCCGUGAACCUUUACUAUAGCUUGACACUGAACAUUGAGCCUUGAUGUGUAGGAUAGGUGGGAGGCUUUGAAGUGUGGACGCCAGUCUGCAUGGAGCCGACCUUGAAAUACCACCCUUUAAUGUUUGAUGUUCUAACGUGGACCCGUUACCCGGGUUGCGGACAGUGUCUGGUGGGUAGUUUGACUGGGGCGGUCUCCUCCUAAAGAGUAACGGAGGAGCACGAAGGUUGGCUAAUCCUGGUCGGACAUCAGGAGGUUAGUGCAAUGGCAUAAGCCAGCUUGACUGCGAGCGUGACGGCGCGAGCAGGUGCGAAAGCAGGUCAUAGUGAUCCGGUGGUUCUGAAUGGAAGGGCCAUCGCUCAACGGAUAAAAGGUACUCCGGGGAUAACAGGCUGAUACCGCCCAAGAGUUCAUAUCGACGGCGGUGUUUGGCACCUCGAUGUCGGCUCAUCACAUCCUGGGGCUGAAGUAGGUCCCAAGGGUAUGGCUGUUCGCCAUUUAAAGUGGUACGCGAGCUGGGUUUAGAACGUCGUGAGACAGUUCGGUCCCUAUCUGCCGUGGGCGCUGGAGAACUGAGGGGGGCUGCUCCUAGUACGAGAGGACCGGAGUGGACGCAUCACUGGUGUUCGGGUUGUCAUGCCAAUGGCACUGCCCGGUAGCUAAAUGCGGAAGAGAUAAGUGCUGAAAGCAUCUAAGCACGAAACUUGCCCCGAGAUGAGUUCUCCCUGAGACUUAGAGUCUCCUGAAGGAACGUUGAAGACGACGACGUUGAUAGGCCGGGUGUGUAAGCGCAGCGAUGCGUUGAGCUAACCGGUACUAAUGAACCGUGAGGCUUAACCUUACAACGCCGAAG
This 923-nucleotide ribosomal RNA is filed under the name Salmonella enterica subsp. enterica serovar Blockley. RNAcentral describes it as "partial 23S ribosomal RNA". It matches the Rfam family "Bacterial large subunit ribosomal RNA", at positions 2020 to 2925 of the family's 2925-position model. The record is from RNAcentral. Lineage: Bacteria; Pseudomonadati; Pseudomonadota; Gammaproteobacteria; Enterobacterales; Enterobacteriaceae.